This is a long non-coding RNA of Oxyura jamaicensis (ruddy duck), 357 nucleotides long. RefSeq lists it as uncharacterized. The record is from RefSeq and is a predicted model, not a curated record. The transcript has 2 exons. NCBI's taxonomy places the organism in Eukaryota, Metazoa, Chordata, Aves, Anseriformes, Anatidae.
AGAAGGGCAACGAAGCUGGUGAAGGGCCUGGAACACAAGUCCUGUGUGAAACAAGUAUCGGAGCCUCAGAAAUGCCGAGGUCAGAUGGGAGCUCCAGAGGAGACCACAAACUCCAAACUCCUGCUUGGAGCUGAAUAUCUCCAAGGGUAUGAAUAUCUCCAAGCACAGAAAGUCCACAACCUGUCUGAGCAGCCUUAUGCCAGUGAUUGACCACCCUCCCAGUAUAAAUAUUUAAUUUUUUUAAAAAAAGAUAAAAUUGUUACAAAUGUUGAAAUACCUAUGGCAUAAGGGUGGUGUUACAGUUUGAUUUCACAUUUCCAAAUGCUGUAGAUGCAUGUUUUCAAUGUAUUAUUUAUU